GCGCCCGCUCGCGCCGGGAGGGGCCCUCGCGCCCCGCGCCCACAGGUGCACGCGCCCUUGGCGCCGCCUGCACCCCACGCGCCCCCUCCGCUCCCCGGCCGACGGCCCACCUGGGCUUCGUGAACAGUGGGAGGGAGAGUCUGGGGCCAGGAGAGGGACGGUGCAGGAUCAGGGAAAGGUGGAAAUCAGAAGUACAUGCAAUAGGAAUUAACUUGAAUAUGAUGCAUAAAGUUUGAAGCAAAGAAAGAUCUGCUGAGCAUGCCUGAGCUGAGAAAUGAGGGAAGGCAGACAUAUGUAUGAGCGCCUAUGCAGAGAGAUGGACUAAACCGGGAAGAUCCAC
RNAcentral lists this long non-coding RNA (340 nucleotides) under Homo sapiens (human). RNAcentral's name for it is "HSALNT0272164". Lineage: Eukaryota; Metazoa; Chordata; Mammalia; Primates; Hominidae. The record is from RNAcentral.